UACGCUGUAAACGGUGGACGCUGGAUGUGGGGCCCAUUCCACGGGUUCCGUGUCGGAGCUAACGCGUUAAGCGUCCCGCCUGGGGACUACGGCCGCAAGGUUAAAACUCAAAGAAAUUGACGGGGGCCCGCACAAGCGGCGGAGCAUGCGGUUUAAUUCGAUGCAACGCGAAGAACCUUACCUGGGCUUGACAUGUGGACGUUGGAUUCAGAGAUGGGUCUUCCCUUCGGGGCGUCUUCACAGGUGG
RNAcentral lists this ribosomal RNA (247 nucleotides) under uncultured Aeriscardovia sp. Its description in RNAcentral is "partial 16S ribosomal RNA". It matches the Rfam family "Bacterial small subunit ribosomal RNA", at positions 796 to 1041 of the family's 1533-position model. Lineage: Bacteria; Bacillati; Actinomycetota; Actinomycetes; Bifidobacteriales; Bifidobacteriaceae. The record is from RNAcentral.